Molecule: non-coding RNA, 27 nt
Filed under: Homo sapiens (human)
Lineage: Eukaryota; Metazoa; Chordata; Mammalia; Primates; Hominidae
Source: RNAcentral
UGCGGAAUGAGGUGCAGAUAAAGCAUG